Molecule: ribosomal RNA, 568 nt
Filed under: Bacillus sp. IDA3432
Lineage: Bacteria; Bacillati; Bacillota; Bacilli; Caryophanales; Bacillaceae
Description: bacterial SSU rRNA
Rfam family: Bacterial small subunit ribosomal RNA
Source: RNAcentral
UAACCAGAAAGCCACGGCUAACUACGUGCCAGCAGCCGCGGUAAUACGUAGGUGGCAAGCGUUGUCCGGAAUUAUUGGGCGUAAAGCGCGCGCAGGCGGUCCUUUAAGUCUGAUGUGAAAGCCCACGGCUCAACCGUGGAGGGUCAUUGGAAACUGGGGGACUUGAGUGCAGAAGAGGAAAGCGGAAUUCCACGUGUAGCGGUGAAAUGCGUACAGAUGUGCAGGAACACCAGUGGCGAAGCCGGCUUUCUGGUCUGUAACUGACGCUGAGGCGCGAAAGCGUGGGCAGCAAACAGCAUUAGAUACCCUGGUAGUCCACGCCGUAACCGAUGAGUGCUAAGUGUUAGGGGGUUUCCGCCCCUUAGUGCUGCAGCUAACGCAUUAAGCACUCCGCCUGGGGAGUACGGCCGCAAGGCAUGAAACUCAAAGGAAUUGACGGGGGCCCGCACAAGCGGUGGAGCAUGUGGUUUAAUUCGAAGCCACGCGAAGAACCUCACCAGGUCUUGACAUCCUGUGACACUCCUAGAGAUAGGACGUUCCCUUCGGGGGACAGAGUACAGGUGGUGCA